UAAAGUUGCUGCAGUUAAAAAGCUCGUAGUUGAACGUUCGGGUUCCGCGGGACGGGGCCGCCCCGCGAGGGACGGCGCCGCCCCGGGGCUCGUGAUAUCUCAUCUCGCCGCCCGUCGCGAGGCGGACGGAGGGAUGGAUGAGGUUACCUGGGAAAAAAAUCGGGGCGAUCUAGGCGGGCGAAACCUCGCCAACGAACGAUCGGACAUGGGAUAACGGAAGAGGGCGUCGGCUCGACUUCGUCGGUUCCUCGGGGCCGAGGCACGUACGGUGAAUAGGGACGGUCGGGGCCGCCCGUACGGGUCGUGAGAGGUGAAAUUCUAGGAUCGACCCGAGACGAACCGCCGCGAAAGCAUUCGGCAAGGGACGCUUUCAUUAAUCAAGAACGAAAGUCGGGGAUCGAAGACGAUCAGAUACCGUCGUAGUCCCGACCGUAAACGAUGCCGA
This 445-nucleotide ribosomal RNA is filed under the name uncultured eukaryote. Its description in RNAcentral is "bacterial SSU rRNA". It matches the Rfam family "Eukaryotic small subunit ribosomal RNA", at positions 605 to 1045 of the family's 1831-position model. The record is from RNAcentral.